RNAcentral lists this ribosomal RNA (497 nucleotides) under uncultured bacterium. Its description in RNAcentral is "partial 16S ribosomal RNA". It matches the Rfam family "Bacterial small subunit ribosomal RNA", at positions 28 to 523 of the family's 1533-position model. The record is from RNAcentral.
GAUGAACGCUGGCGGCGUGCUUAACACAUGCAAGUCGAACGAAGCACUUUACUUGAUCUUUUCGGAGUGAUUGUUUUGUGACUGAGUGGCGGACGGGUGAGUAACGCGUGGGUAACCUGCCUCACACAGGGGGAUAACAGUUGGAAACGGCUGCUAAUACCGCAUAAGCGCACAGUACCGCAUGGUACGGUGUGAAAAACUCCGGUGGUGUGAGAUGGACCCGCGUCUGAUUAGCUAGUUGGCAGGGCAACGGCCUACCAAGGCGACGAUCAGUAGCCGACCUGAGAGGGUGACCCGGCACAUUGGGACUGAGACACGGCACAAACUCCUACGGGAGGCAGCAGUGGGGAAUAUGGCACAAUGGGGGAAACCCUGAUGCAGCGACGCCGCGUGAGCGAAGAAGUAUUUCGGUAUGUAAAGCUCUAUCAGCAGGGAAGAAGAAAUGACGGUACCUGACUAAGAAGCACCGGCUAAAUACGUGCCAGCCGCCGCCGUAA